GUAAGGAAUAUUGGUCAAUGGAGGCAACUCUGAACCAGCCAUGCCGCGUGCAGGAAGACGGCCCUCUGGGUUGUAAACUGCUUUUAUCCGGGAAUAAACCUGCCUUCGUGAAGGUAGCUGAAUGUACCGGAAGAAUAAGGAUCGGCUAACUCCGUGCCAGCAGCCGCGGUAAUACGGAGGAUCCAAGCGUUAUCCGGAUUUAUUGGGUUUAAAGGGUGCGUAGGCGGCCUGUUAAGUCAGGGGUGAAAGACGGUGGCUCAAACAUCGCAGUGCCCUUGAUACUGAUGGGCUUGAAUGGACUAGAGGUAGGCGGAAUGUGACAAGUAGCGGUGAAAUGCAUAGAUAUGUCACAGAACACCGAUUGCGAAGGCAGCUUACUAUGGUCCUAUUGACGCUGAGGCACGAAAGCGUGGGGAUCGAACAGGAUUAGAAACCCGAGUAGUCC
RNAcentral lists this ribosomal RNA (445 nucleotides) under uncultured bacterium. RNAcentral describes it as "partial 16S ribosomal RNA". It matches the Rfam family "Bacterial small subunit ribosomal RNA", at positions 354 to 796 of the family's 1533-position model. The record is from RNAcentral.